CUCUGAAGAGGGCGUUUCCCCCCCUGACAGACCCCCACCCCCUCGGCAGGUAGAGUCGGGGCUUGUACCCCCGAUCUCGGGACGAAGGGAAGCUCACUCCCACUCUCCACGCUGAGCUCCCAGCCAGAGGCGCCUGUUGAGUGUCAGUGUGUGUGUGUCAGUGUGUGUGUUUGUGUUCCACGUCCUCAGAAGGGAACUGUACGUGUGUGUGUGUGUCAGUGUGUGGGUGUGUGUGUCAGUGUGUGAGUGUCCUCAGAAGGGAACUGUACCUGUGUGUCAGUGUGUGUCAGUGUGUGAGUGUCCUCAGAAGGGAACUGUACCUGUGUCAGUGUGUGAGUGUCCUCAGAAGGGAACUGUACCUGUGUGUCAGUGUGUGUCAGUGUGUGAGUGUCCUC
RNAcentral lists this long non-coding RNA (395 nucleotides) under Lepisosteus oculatus (spotted gar). RNAcentral describes it as "lncRNA (ENSLOCG00000022401.1)". Lineage: Eukaryota; Metazoa; Chordata; Actinopteri; Semionotiformes; Lepisosteidae. The record is from RNAcentral.